GGUUAAGAUUGGUUUUUGGUCAGGGUUACCAAUAUGGUAAUGUUGGGGUUCAGGGUAUUUACGAUUAAGGAUGGCAUGAUUUAGAGUAAAUAUCUGCAGUAAAUUGUUACCUCGUUAUGCUCAGCCAAUGGCUGAAUGAGACGAUAGUUACAAUUUGCAUCUUUUUAAAUACAGGUACUCCCAUAAACAUAACUACCCCUUAUCCCUAAAUCUCAUUAAACUUGUACAUUCAGUUUUUUUAAAUAGUGUGAAUUGUUAAAAUGUGGGAGAGCAAUGGGACGUUCCUGAAAUGCUAUUAUACUUGAAUGUGAAACAUAGUCAAAUUUUUAAAAGUUUUUAAAAUCUGUAGUGCCCAGUAUCUACACAAAAUAAUUUGCAGAGAUAUUGUUUUUUUUGUGACUG
Molecule: non-coding RNA, 402 nt
Organism: Pelobates cultripes (western spadefoot toad)
Lineage: Eukaryota; Metazoa; Chordata; Amphibia; Anura; Pelobatidae
Source: the annotation of a GenBank genome assembly